UGGGGAAUUUUGCACAAUGGGGGAAACCCUGAUGCAGCGACGCCGCGUGAUUUAGAAGGCCUUCGGGUUGUAAAAAUCUUUUGUAUGGGAAGAAAAUGACAGUACCAUACGAAUAAGGACCGGCUAAUUACGUGCCAGCAGCCGCGGUAAUACGUAAGGUCCGAGCGUUGUCCGGAAUCAUUGGGCGUAAAGGGUACGUAGGCGGAUAAGCAAGUUAGAAGUGAAAUCCUAUAGCUCAACUAUAGUAAGCUUUUAAAACUGCUCAUCUUGAGGUAUGGAAGGGAAAGUGGAAUUCCUAGUGUAGCGGUGAAAUGCGCAGAUAUUAGGAGGAAUACCGGUGGCGAAGGCGACUUUCUGGCCAUAAACUGACGCUGAGGUACGAAAGCGUGGGUAGCAAACAGG
Molecule: ribosomal RNA, 402 nt
Filed under: Actinomycetes bacterium
Lineage: Bacteria; Bacillati; Actinomycetota; Actinomycetes
Also listed under: 4 other names
Description: Actinobacteria bacterium partial 16S ribosomal RNA
Rfam family: Bacterial small subunit ribosomal RNA
Source: RNAcentral